Molecule: ribosomal RNA, 448 nt
Filed under: uncultured bacterium
Lineage: Bacteria
Description: partial 16S ribosomal RNA
Rfam family: Bacterial small subunit ribosomal RNA
Source: RNAcentral
GUGGGGAAUAUUGGACAAUGGGCGAAAGCCUGAUCCAGCCAUGCCGCGUGUGUGAAGAAGGUCUUCGGAUUGUAGCACUUUAAGUUGGGAGGAAGGGCAGUAAGUUAAUACCUUGCUGUUUUGACGUUACCGACAGAAUAAGCACCGGCUAACUUCGUGCCAGCAGCCGCGGUAAUACGAAGGGUGCAAGCGUUAAUCGGAAUUACUGGGCGUAAAGCGCGCGUAGGUGGUUUUGUAAGUUGGAGGUGAAAUCCCCGGGCUCAACCUGGGAACUGCAUCCAAAACUGCAUGACUAGAGUACGGUAGAGGGUAGUGGAAUUUCCUGUGUAGCGGUGAAAUGCGUAGAUAUAGGAAGGAACACCAGUGGCGAAGGCGACUACCUGGACUGAUACUGACACUGAGGUGCGAAAGCGUGGGGAGCAAACAGGAUUAGAUACCCGGGUAGUCC